Small nuclear RNA from Trichomycterus rosablanca, 191 nucleotides. RefSeq annotates it as U2 spliceosomal RNA. The record is from RefSeq and is a predicted model, not a curated record. NCBI's taxonomy places the organism in Eukaryota, Metazoa, Chordata, Actinopteri, Siluriformes, Trichomycteridae. The transcript has a single exon.
AUCACUUCUCUGCCUUUUGGCUAAGAUCAAAUGUAGCCUCUGUUCUCAUCUGUUUAAUAUCUGAUAAAUCUUCCUUCCAAGGAUCAUAUAUUAAAUGGUUUUAUAGGCCUAGGAGUCAGAAGGGGAGCUUGUUCUGUCCGCCCCAAGUGUCGACUAGGUGUUGCGUUGUUUCCAAGCAUAGUGCAUUUCUG